GAUGAACGCUGGCGGCGUGCCUAAUACAUGCAAGUCGAGCGAACGGACGAGAAGCUUGCUUCUCUGAUGUUAGCGGCGGACGGGUGAGUAACACGUGGAUAACCUACCUAUAAGACUGGGAUAACUUCGGGAAACCGGAGCUAAUACCGGAUAAUAUUUUGAACCGCAUGGUUCAAAAGUGAAAGACGGUCUUGCUGUCACUUAUAGAUGGAUCCGCGCUGCAUUAGCUAGUUGGUAAGGUAACGGCUUACCAAGGCAACGAUGCAUAGCCGACCUGAGAGGGUGAUCGGCCACACUGGAACUGAGACACGGUCCAGACUCCUACGGGAGGCAGCAGUAGGGAAUCUUCCGCAAUGGGCGAAAGCCUGACGGAGCAACGCCGCGUGAGUGAUGAAGGUCUUCGGAUCGUAAAACUCUGUUAUUAGGGAAGAACAUAUGUGUAAGUAACUGUGCACAUCUUGACGGUACCUAAUCAGAAAGCCACGGCUAACUACGUGCCAGCAGCCGCGGUAAUACGUAGGUGGCAAGCGUUAUCCGGAAUUAUUGGGCGUAAAGCGCGCGUAGGCGGUUUUUUAAGUCUGAUGUGAAAGCCCACGGCUCAACCCGGGGAGGGUCAUUGGAAACUGGAAAACUUGAGUGCAGAAGAGGAAAGUGGAAUUCCAUGUGUAGCGGUGAAAUGCGCAGAGAUAUGGAGGAACACCAGUGGCGAAGGCGACUUUCUGGUCUGUAACUGACGCUGAUGUGCGAAAGCGUGGGGAUCAAACAGGAUUAGAUACCCUGGUAGUCCACGCCGUAAACGAUGAGUGCUAAGUGUUAGGGGGUUUCCGCCCCUUAGUGCUGCAGCUAACGCAUUAAGCACUCCGCCUGGGGAGUACGACCGCAAGGUUGAAACUCAAAGGAAUUGACGGGGACCCGCACAAGCGGUGGAGCAUGUGGUUUAAUUCGAAGCAACGCGAAGAACCUUACCAAAUCUUGACAUCCUUUGACAACUCUAGAGAUAGAGCCUUCCCCUUCGGGGGACAAAGUGACAGGUGGUGCAUGGUUGUCGUCAGCUCGUGUCGUGAGAUGUUGGGUUAAGUCCCGCAACGAGCGCAACCCUUAAGCUUAGUUGCCAUCAUUAAGUUGGGCACUCUAAGUUGACUGCCGGUGACAAACCGGAGGAAGGUGGGGAUGACGUCAAAUCAUCAUGCCCCUUAUGAUUUGGGCUACACACGUGCUACAAUGGACAAUACAAAGGGCAGCGAAACCGCGAGGUCAAGCAAAUCCCAUAAAGUUGUUCUCAGUUCGGAUUGUAGUCUGCAACUCGACUACAUGAAGCUGGAAUCGCUAGUAAUCGUAGAUCAGCAUGCUACGGUGAAUACGUUCCCGGGUCU
Molecule: ribosomal RNA, 1373 nt
Filed under: uncultured bacterium
Lineage: Bacteria
Description: bacterial SSU rRNA
Rfam family: Bacterial small subunit ribosomal RNA
Source: RNAcentral